UUUAAAACGUGGUUCACCAUAUACAUUUCCUUGAAAAAAUGUGUCUACUCUUGUGAUAUAGUUGUGGUUUGUUUAACCAGCAAUUUUCUGUAAGUUCUGAGUUUUAUUUAUAGGGCUCAGCUAUUAGAUCAUAGUUAUAGAGACAAUUUGGGAUUGAUGAGUAUUCAUUUGUAAAGGGGAAGGAAGUAUUUACUAGCAUGAAAUACGUAAUCCUAGACUUUUAAAUGAAGAUGAAGGGCUUAAUCUAAGUAUAGGAAAGUUAAACAAAUGCCAGAAAGAUUCGCGGGUGGAAUGUAAAUCCGUAUUCAACUCCAACUGUAACUUUCAGGCUAACUGUAAAUUAUGUUGUUUGUAAUAUAAUAAAUAUAAUUUAUUGAGUGUUUACUAUACUUCUGGCGCUGUUUUCAUCAUUUUGCACGAACUAACUCAUUGAAAGAUAUACCAGCUCUGUAAGGCAGGUGGUCAAAUUUUUACUCUUCAGAGAAAUUAACCUGAACAAGUUCUGCACAACCAACAUCAAAAAGGCAAAAAUAAAAGCCUGCAUCUAAAAAAAAAGGAGGGAAUAUAUGAAAGUUUGCAGGGCUGUUCCAUACUGCAUGGCAGAAUUCCAGGAUGUCUUUACGUUGAAUGGUGGUACCUUCAGAUCCUCUUAUCCAUCCAGCUCCCAGAAGUCCAGCCACCACUCCUCCUCCAUGCCUGAAAAGAAGACUAGAAAGUUUAAGGGAUUUUCACAUAUUUAUAUUUGAAAAUUCCCCCAAUGACCCAGCCAACUCACCCCGUAAUAAAACAGUGUGAGGUAGGGGCCCAAUUUCAUUGUUUUGCAUGUGGAUGUCCAGUUGUCCUAGUCCCAUUUGUUGAAAACACUUGCACUACUUUUUGUCUUUCUCUGUCCUUCCUCUGCUUGCUUCUGGAGGCAUACUCAGCUGUGGAAGUGCAUGACAGAAAGGGCACUAAAACAGUAGGUUUGUAGCCCCUCUUCUAGGAGCCAAUGGAAACUAGAGAGUGUCAGAGAUAUUUAAGAGAAGGCUAAUUCCCAAGCUAUAUGAAUCUAACUAUAAAAAAAUACAAAAGUUUUUAUAACAAAUCAGAGUAGAAGACGG
RNAcentral lists this long non-coding RNA (1100 nucleotides) under Equus caballus (horse). RNAcentral's name for it is "lncRNA (ENSECAG00000050346.1)". The record is from RNAcentral. Lineage: Eukaryota; Metazoa; Chordata; Mammalia; Perissodactyla; Equidae.